CUUUUAUAUCAUCUGACAGCCUGCAAGUCAGCUGCUUUCUAGAAUCAGAAUUUUUUACUGAAACAAUCUACCUUUUGGUAAUCCAUAAAGUACAAAGUAGUGGAGGAGAUUAAAAUGAGAAUGUCUGCGAGAUUCUUCCUACUUUUUCUGCUUGUUUCUCUAGGAUCCCCUGGACAUAUUAGAAUGGCUAAGACUCCAAAUGUCAUCUCUACAUCACCAAAAGAGACAAUCUCCCUCUCCUGUAAAGCUGUAAAUGAUGCAAAUCUGAAGUCCCAUGCCGUAGCCUGGAACCAUCAGAAACCGGAACAAUCUCCAUCUCCAAUUAUAUAUCAUGCCUAUCGCCAAAAUACCGGGGUUCCAGACCGAUUCAGUAGGACUGUAUCUAUACCUGAUGUCGUUCUUAAAAUGUUCAACUCUGAAAUGCUGGAUGACGGUGACUAUUACUGCCACCAGCCCAUAGAACAUCCGAGCACACAGUGAUACGGAGCAGUACAAAAACCUUCUGCAUGUGUGUAUUAGUAUGCAUGAAAUCUGUAUAUACUUCCUAAAUCUAAGGCCGCGUACACACAAUCGGUUAAACCGAUGAGAGCGGUCUGAUGGACCGUUUUCAUCGGUCCAAACC
This is a long non-coding RNA of Rana temporaria (common frog), 622 nucleotides long. RefSeq lists it as uncharacterized. Lineage: Eukaryota; Metazoa; Chordata; Amphibia; Anura; Ranidae. The transcript has 3 exons. The record is from RefSeq and is a predicted model, not a curated record.